GACGAUGACGGUACAGCGGUCGGGGGAAGACGUGGGGGGUGGGCGUUGGGCGGGAGUAUGGGGGGGAAAGGGGGCGUGUGCGGGUUGUUGGGUCGGGAGUGAAAACCUCAAGCUUAACUGUGGGCUUGCUUUCGAUACGGGCAGACUUGAGGGAUGCAGGGGAGAACGGAAUUCCUGGUGUAGCGGUGAAAUGCGCAGAUAUCAGGAGGAACACCGGUGGCGAAGGCGGUUCUCUGGGCAUGUUCUGACGCUGAGGAGCGAAAGUGUGGGGAGCGAACAGGAUUAGAUACCCUGGUAGUC
Molecule: ribosomal RNA, 300 nt
Filed under: uncultured Thermus sp.
Lineage: Bacteria; Thermotogati; Deinococcota; Deinococci; Thermales; Thermaceae
Description: partial 16S ribosomal RNA
Rfam family: Bacterial small subunit ribosomal RNA
Source: RNAcentral